Molecule: non-coding RNA, 46 nt
Organism: Scleropages formosus (Asian bonytongue)
Lineage: Eukaryota; Metazoa; Chordata; Actinopteri; Osteoglossiformes; Osteoglossidae
Source: Rfam
AAAAUGGUUGCAUUUGCAACCAAAAAUAUUAAUUUGCGAGUGAUAU